RNAcentral lists this transfer RNA (87 nucleotides) under Mesoaciditoga lauensis. Its description in RNAcentral is "tRNA-Tyr". It matches the Rfam family "tRNA". Rfam says of the family: Transfer RNA (tRNA) molecules are approximately 80 nucleotides in length. Their secondary structure includes four short double-helical elements and three loops (D, anti-codon, and T loops). The record is from RNAcentral. Lineage: Bacteria; Thermotogati; Thermotogota; Thermotogae; Mesoaciditogales; Mesoaciditogaceae.
GGAGAGGUGCCCGAGUGGCCAAUGGGGGCGGACUGUAAAUCCGCUGGCGGAUCGCCUUCGAUGGUUCAAAUCCAUCCUUCUCCACCA